Molecule: long non-coding RNA, 444 nt
Organism: Hydra vulgaris (swiftwater hydra)
Lineage: Eukaryota; Metazoa; Cnidaria; Hydrozoa; Anthoathecata; Hydridae
Source: RefSeq, a predicted model, not a curated record
CUUUACUCGACAACAUUAUGCUAUUUUAUAAUAGAGCCAGUACAUUAGUUAAUGAUCUUCUUGAAAUAUUGCCAAAUCAAGGUUUGGAACUUCCCAAAGAUUCAAGGAGAAUUUUAAAAGCACCUUAUGAAAAGUGACUUAUAGACAGGAGCGUCAACUACAUCAAGUGUCAGUUGAUAUAUAUGUUUUGGUCAAAUACAUGUUUGUAUUUGCUCCAAAAUUUGAAAGUCUGUGAUACAAAGUUUCGCUUUUCCCAAAACAAAGUUAAAGAAAAUUUAUGAAGUCAAUGAUAAAUCUUAAAGUUUUACAAAGAAUAAUGCAAGUAAUAUUUUUUCUUGUAAUAACUAUCUUGGAAGUUAUUUUAAUCUAGGCCUUUUAUCUUUAUAAAUUAAUUUUUUAAUACUUCUCAAUACUCAAAAUAGGUACCUAGUCAAUUCAGCAAGA